This 200-nucleotide ribosomal RNA is filed under the name uncultured prokaryote. RNAcentral describes it as "partial 16S ribosomal RNA". It matches the Rfam family "Bacterial small subunit ribosomal RNA", at positions 1184 to 1382 of the family's 1533-position model. The record is from RNAcentral.
GUCAAAUCAUCAUGCCCCUUAAACUCUGGGCUACACACGUACUACAAUGGCGCAGAAACAACGGGAAGCGAAGCCGCGAGGCGGAGCAAAUCCCCAAAAGGCGCCCCAGUUCAGAUUGCAGGCUGCAACCCGCCUGCAUGAAGUCGGAAUUGCUAGUAAUCGCGAAUCAGAAUGUCGCGGUGAAUACGUUCCCGGGCUUU